This is a long non-coding RNA of Cervus hanglu yarkandensis (Yarkand deer), 2126 nucleotides long. NCBI's taxonomy places the organism in Eukaryota, Metazoa, Chordata, Mammalia, Artiodactyla, Cervidae. The record is from Ensembl.
GUUAGUAUAUGUGCUGCUGAAGCGAGCACUAAAAUAGAAUUUUAAACAGAAUUGCAUGCCUAUGAAAAUGGACAUCCUAUGAAAAUGGACAAGCCAUAUCAUGAAGCUUCAUUUUAUUCUUUCAAAGGACUUUUAUUUCCCUGGGUCCCAUUAAACAGAAACAUUUACAAAGAGGUUCCUUGAUAUAUCACAUUAAGGACAAGUAUCAGAAUAAAGAGAGUUAAAGCCAAACAAGGGGAAAAAACUCACUCCUCUAAAAUAAGAGUAGUACUAGCUUUUAAGAUCCAAUUUCAGACUUCUGCAAUAGUACGAGUUUUAUUGCUGAAAAGGAAAGAAAGAAAGAAGGCAGGAAAGAAGGAGGAAGAGAAAGGGAGGAACAGAUAAGAAAAUAGAUGAUAGAUUGACAGAAAUAAAUGUAAGAUACAUUUUAAGCGUUAAAUUCAAAGUUGAAGGUGAAAGAAGUCGUGAGAUGGCCGCCACCACUCCUUUUCAUUCUGUUUUCUAAAUCUGAACUGCCAUCUGAGAAUUGAACUUUUACCCUUCCUUCUGCCUAAGCGUCUUUCUCUUGUCUGGAUUUGUGCAAAGGAUCUGCAGUACUGAUGGUGGACUUCCCUGGAGCCUUGACACAAACCAUGACAUGGAAGGCAAAGUAGGCAGAAGAGAGAAGUUGUCAACCUAUGAUCUUAGGUCCCCAACCAGGAAUUGAACCCGAACCCCCUCCACUGGAAGUGCAUAACCUUCAUCACUGGACCACUAAGGAAGAGCGACUUUCUAAGUGCCACCUAUGGAGAAUUUGGAGGAAUGGAGUCUUUCCUAAAAAAAUUUUCAAAAAUGCCUCAAGAAGACACGUUCAGGAGCCAGCCCUUUGCCAUCUGCAGCAAUAGAACAGCAGCAGCCAAGGGAAGCACUAACAGUUCACUAAUGAGUGAAUAUUUCCAAAUUGUUUUGCAUGUGAAAUGGCAACCCACUCCAGUACUCUUGGCUGGAAAAUCCCAUGGACAGAGGAGCCUGGUAGGUUACGGUCCAUGGGGUCGCAAAGAGUCGGACACGACUGAGCGACUUCACUUUCCUUUUCUUUCGUUUCAUUGUGGCUGCUGCACAUUUUCAUUACUGAAGAAGAGAGGAAACCAAGCUAAGGGAUUGGACAGAGAGGUAGAGAUACACACAUCCUGCAGGCAUCCCCCAAAAGCAACUUCAGCUAUUGGAUCCAAAGAUGUUGGAGCAUUUUGCUCAGGAUGAAUUAUCUUGAAAAUACCACUUGGAGUAGCCUCCAGCAAGCAGAUGCCUGGAACUCCUGGGUGCUGGAUGGUAGUGUGGAUUCCCAUCAUGGGGCUCCACCUCACAAUCCAAUGUCCUGAAAACCCAUACCUUCUCUUCAUGAUUUUUCUCAAGGACCUCAGAUCCAGUAUUGUAAGAUGCUCACAUUUCUGGCUUUACCAUAGACAGUGGUUUCCAAACAUUUCUCAAUCGAACACCCGAUUGCAUAAGAUCUGAAUAUGGAAUUGUCUGUGCUGGAAAGACAGCUCUUUGUUCACCACAUUCUCAAGGAAUUCCUGACUGUUUGUACCCACCUUGGAUUCUACAUAGUACUCUCUGGCCUCAUGCUCCAACAUCUAUAAUAUUAGCCACUGUGCACUUCUUGAUUUUCUUUAUGUGUGCUAGCAAAAACUAAACGAUCCUUUGGGCCCUCAAUAGCAGUGAGGCUGCCUUCCUUGCAUAUGAUAUCCAUUGGCUAGUACCAUCUUUGAAUUGUUUAUUCUUAUAUUUUCCCAUGACUAGUUAUACUGGGGAUAACCUUAAACCAAAUCUGGUACAAUUCAAUUUCAAUGCAAUAAAUAUUUGGAAUCCAAAGCCUAUUUAGUCUUUAUCUAUAAGUUCAGACAAUUCACUCUCACCAAUAGGAGGGGACUGCCCCAGUUACGAAUUAGUACUCCUUUUAUGUCUCCUUCAUAGACAUAAAAGCACAAUCAAAUCCAUCACAAAUGCCCCUCUUCCAUCUUUCAUUUUCAAUUUCAUGCAAACCAUGAGGCUUUAUAUGUAGGAGGCACUUGAUAUAUCUUUAUGUAAGAAGCAUUUGAUAUAAAAAAUACCAAACUCCUUUCCCACACCCCAACUUGGGAAAAUUC